UCCCAAGUGGCUCAAGGUGUAAAGAAUCUGCCUGCAAUGCAGGAGACUCAGGGUUGAUACCUGGCUUGGGAA
This 72-nucleotide transfer RNA is filed under the name Ovis aries (sheep). It matches the Rfam family "tRNA". Rfam says of the family: Transfer RNA (tRNA) molecules are approximately 80 nucleotides in length. Lineage: Eukaryota; Metazoa; Chordata; Mammalia; Artiodactyla; Bovidae. The record is from Rfam by way of RNAcentral.